CAGAAGGAUGACGAACGUGCCGUCUCGGUGGAACGGCACGGCUGGUUUUAGCUCCGUUUCAAGCAUUGUUAUUCAGUCUACGUUCGCGCCUAUGUAAAUGUUGGUUAACCCCAGGCAGAACGGGGGAGGCUUGGUCCCUAGGCUCGUCCUACAUCCUCACUGCUAUGAUUUUGAAAUGAAAUAUUUCUCUCACUGAACGAGGUGGCAAAAUUUGUGAAACAACUUGGAGCGAUUAUUCUUCUCUUUAAGACUGCCAAUAGUAUUUCUUCGAACGAUCAUUCGAUGAUCCAGUAUUAAGAUUUCUUUGAUCGAAGUUGGAAAAAGGAGGGGGAGGAAAUUUUAUUAACUCGAUCGAAUCUGGACGACAUUUUAUUUUACAAAAGGGACAAGUUAGAAUGGGAGUGAUUACGACAAAGGAAUCUCUUUUAGAAAAUAACGUUGGAUAAAGUUAACAUGAAAUCAUA
Long non-coding RNA from Frieseomelitta varia, 464 nucleotides. RefSeq lists it as uncharacterized. Lineage: Eukaryota; Metazoa; Arthropoda; Insecta; Hymenoptera; Apidae. The transcript has 2 exons. The record is from RefSeq and is a predicted model, not a curated record.